This 3458-nucleotide long non-coding RNA is filed under the name Daphnia magna. RNAcentral describes it as "uncharacterized LOC116926894, transcript variant X3". Lineage: Eukaryota; Metazoa; Arthropoda; Branchiopoda; Diplostraca; Daphniidae. The record is from RNAcentral.
AAAUAACAUGUGAGGCGAGAAACCUUAUAUCUUAUUUAUUUUUUUACAUUUCACAGUAAUAACAGAUUUUAAAGUAAUGACAGAACUCAGUAAACAUACCUGUUGUGUUGGUUUCCUGAUUGGAAUAUUUGACAGUUACCUAAAAUUUCUUCUGGUUAAAAUUUUACUCGCUAGAUGGCGAGAAGGAUAUUAGUUCUCUAGCUUUUGCUGGCGCGCCAGUGAGAUUCGUUUUUUAAUGUCAAGCGCGCCAUCACUUGUACUGUAACUAAUUUCAAUCUUUUCCCCAUUGCUAAAGUAUAAGUAAAUAAAGUAGUUGCCAUCAUUGCGUAUUUCAUUUCAGCAAUUGUUUAUUGUGUUUUACUUUUAACUUGUUUAAUAUGAUGCCUUUUGUUUUUCUCAAAUAUUGUUUGUUUGUCUGAUUUACUUUGUUCCACUAAGCAAUGCAUGUUUUCGCGUUGUGGUGCCUAAUACUAGUCGCCAGAUGUCUCUGCUAUCACAUACCCUUCUCGUUUAUCUCUGGUUGGGCAUUACAGUUUGUCUGCUACAUGAUCAAGGUCGAGUGGAUGUGGACGUCGUGGACGUUAAUGAAGAGUUUUGAAAGGAGAAAGUUUUUAAUUUAAAUUUUCUAUUAGACAAGAAAACAAAUCUUUCUUUUGAAAGUGCACAUCUUCGUGAAUUCUUUCAGUAUUUUUGUCAUGAAAGUAAUCAUGCAGCUUGUUUAACUGUGUUGCUGAUUUCUCCGGUUAACCACGGUAAAUGGCAAUUUUUUUUCCCCUUCUUGAAUGGUUAAACCAGUGAGAUAAUUGCCACUUAUUAACCGGUUAACCUAUGGUUACACGAACACCUCUGACCUCUGGUGGGUGUUUCGAUUUCACCGAUACGCAGAAGGCAGAACGGUUUGCACGCACGCUUUGUGGCAGUGACGAUGUGGGGAUGUGGCCGCUAUGGCAGACAUUUUGCAUAAAACUUCUACCUAAUUGCUGAAAUCCAGGGUGAAAUUUUGAUACCUUACAGGUGCUGAUAGCACUUUACACUUCUUGGUCAAUGAUAGUGAUUUGACUUAUCCUGUGGCCCGAUUGAAGCUUAAAAUGUAAAACACCUCUUUUAAUGAUCAGGUAAACUACAUUUUUAAUUCAUUAAAAAAUCUCAUAAGUUGGUUGAUACAGUGCUAUCAUGGAUCGGUACAAAUCCAUUCUUGAGAAAGAUUAGGUUACAACAAUGCUGUUGAAGACAAUUCUACCUUAGAAACUCUGAUGAACUCACUGUGUGCACAAGGUACUUUUUAGAUGAUUCAGUGUGAUGCUUUAAGAACAAUAUCAUCCAGCUGCUAUAGUGAUAUUGUCAGAUGUUGGUGAAAGAGUUAAAAACAGUCGGAGCCCCAUUUAUCAAAAUAGAGGAAUUAGUUCAUGGAAUACUGGGUGUCACUGUCAAUAGUUGGUGACUAUAUGCUGGGGUUGGCUUAAGUAGGUAUAACAUUUUUUAGUGGCCCAUCUAACCUGCAAUUUUUUUCUCUCCUCCAUAAAGGACCUCCUAUAACAACUUGAAUACGCUUACAAGUUAUAACAAAUUUACGACUCCUUAGUGUAUAGUCUGAAAGCAACUUUAAAAAAAGUGAAAAUGAUUUGGUAUUCGUCAACCCAAUGCAAAAAAGUCCAAAGCAGCGGUGUGCGAAGAAAGUAGUAUGGUGUGCGAAGUAAACAUUAAAAGUAAGAAAUGGAGGAUAGCUUGUGUCGUCAAUCAGCAUGACACGAAGUCAUAAAAUGGCAGGACAGGUGUCGGAAUAGCCGCACGAGACCAAAACAUGGAAGCAACAGCGUAGCAUUUGCUAUCAGUUUGAGUUUACAUGUCCAUCAGCUUACAGUUUUUGGUAACUAUCAGUCUACUUCACAAUUUGGUCUGUAUGUUUUAAUUUCAGUUGAUUGCAAGUUUGUGCCGAACUAAUUAUUUUUUCUACAAACAUGUUGAACUAGCCUCAAUAGCUAGCUAUUGAGUUAUUAGUAGCGUGUUCUUGGUUGUUGGCAGCGGCUGUUAUCUCUUGGAUGGCUGGAACGACCCCGAGUGUACCUAUGGGCUCCUUUUCUUCCAAGUACAAUAUUACAUUUGCGCCCUACUACACCAUGAUGUACAUUGUUCCCGCAUACUACUACACCAAUGCGCCACAGUAGUACUCAACGAAAAGCACAAGUAUAACGUGACCAAAUCGAUGGAGUAUUACACAACCACGUGUGUAGCUCCAAAAUACUACACCACAAGAAUAGCGUUUACAUUAUGCUGAAGCUCUUGAGUACUAUUUGGCCCAAAUUACUAUGUUUGCCUCUCAAAGCUACACUCGCCCAGGCAUCGAGUACUAUACAACUAAACCUGAGUAUUGCAUAACGACUUGUAUUACAUUGAAAUAUUAUAGUACGAAGCUUCAAAGUACUAUUCUGUUUCAAGAUGCUACACCGUCGCUGUCCCAUCUUACUAGGUCGUGCGUAACAUAAGCGACAGCUUAUGCCUCAUCAACUUGCUAAUCUAAAGCUCUGAAAUGCCAUUCAGUCACAAGAUACAAUAUUGAGGCAAUAUUUUUUUAAAUUAUUAUAGAUUAAUCCGAAGUCUUUAAAAUAAUUACAUAAUCAAAAAGUAAUGUUAAAUCAUUAAACAUGCUAUCGUGUAUGCCGCGCCUAGCUGAAUACUGAAGCUCCGAAAUACUACACAACAUAUUCUGCUGAAUACUAUACUACCCCUCCGCGGAGUGUGGAAUACUGCAUUACCAUCAGACAACUACAACUUGAGGGCACGAGCUUCUAUCAAAUUUAUUAAGAUGUGGUUAUUUGCACAAAUUUUGAUUCCCUACGGUUAGUUGCCAUUUGGCUUUAUGACUUACCCGCACGUCUAAAGCUCAAAUAAUUGUAGAUGUCUCUCUCACCACAAAAUAUUAAUUCGUUGUGGUGAACGGAAAAACUUACUGAUCACUUCAUUCUUCAAUUGCAUGAUAUCAUGUCCUUAUUUGAAUCUAAUAUCGCUCGUAUUUUUUUUUUUUUGUGUAUCUUUUUUUGUUUCUAUCUUGGAGUUCAUACAGUUGUUAUAGGUAACAGGUGCAUUUAAUGAGAAAGUUCUCGUGGCCGCCACAUCCUUGAGAAAUCUAUAGACGUUACGAACUGUUAAAGCAAUCCACGACAAUAGCAGAUGUUUCAUUUUGCCAGCCGUCGACCGAACAUGAUUUUCCCUUUCCCGCUAUGCCACUACAGAUAAGUUUUCAAUGUGAAGAAAAUCAACGCAAAGCUCCUAAGCGGUUAGCUUUUGCCAAAAAAUCACGUUAAUAAAAUUGAAUGCCGAAUCCGAGAAAGUUAUUCAUUUUCUCCGUUUUGGAAAAUAAUAACGAAUAGUUGUGCUAUACCACGCUAUCGCUGUAGCAUGCUGGAACACAACUUUGUUAACAUGUUUUUUACGUUUAAUUUGAAAAAUUCAAGUUCUAC